RNAcentral lists this ribosomal RNA (216 nucleotides) under Glomeromycotina sp. RNAcentral describes it as "partial small subunit ribosomal RNA". The stretch from base 40 to 216 matches the Rfam family "Eukaryotic small subunit ribosomal RNA", at positions 686 to 864 of the family's 1831-position model. The record is from RNAcentral. Lineage: Eukaryota; Fungi; Glomeromycota.
GGGUCAGUAGGUUGGUCGUGCCACCGGUACGUACUGGUCUCACUGAUUCCUCCUUCCUGAAGAACCGUAAUGCCAUUAAUUUGGUGUUGCGGGGAAACAGGACUGUUACUUUGAAAAAAUUAGAGUGUUUAAAGCAAGCUAACGCUUGAAUACAUUAGCGUGGAAUAAUGAAAUAGGACGAUCGAUCCUGUUUUGUUGGUUUCUAGGAUUGACGUA